UGCGUAGGCGGCCCUGUAAGUCAGUGCUGAAAUAUCCCGCUUAACCGGGAGGGUGGCAUUGAUACUGCGGGGCUAGAGUACAGAUGAGGUAGGCGGAAUUGACGGUGUAGCGGUGAAAUGCUUAGAUAUCGUCAAGAACACCUAUAGCGAAGGCAGCUUACUAGGCUGUAACUGACGCUGAGGCACGAAAGUGUGGGGAUCAAACAGGAUUAGAUACCCUGGUAGUCCACACUGUAAACGUUGAUUACUCGCUGUGUGCGAUAUACAGUACGCGGCCAAGCGAAAGCGCUAAGUAAUCCACCUGGGGAGUACGCCGGCAACGGUGAA
Molecule: ribosomal RNA, 327 nt
Filed under: uncultured Bacteroidota bacterium
Lineage: Bacteria; Pseudomonadati; Bacteroidota
Description: bacterial SSU rRNA
Rfam family: Bacterial small subunit ribosomal RNA
Source: RNAcentral